Molecule: non-coding RNA, 30 nt
Filed under: Mus musculus (house mouse)
Lineage: Eukaryota; Metazoa; Chordata; Mammalia; Rodentia; Muridae
Source: RNAcentral
UAAAGGUGCAAUUUCCUGUAGAAAGCAGUA